Molecule: ribosomal RNA, 253 nt
Filed under: uncultured bacterium
Lineage: Bacteria
Description: partial 16S ribosomal RNA
Rfam family: Bacterial small subunit ribosomal RNA
Source: RNAcentral
UACGAAGGGGGCUAGCGUUGCUCGGAAUCACUGGGCGUAAAGCGCACGUAGGCGGAUUGUUAAGUCAGGGGUGAAAUCCUGGAGCUCAACUCCAGAACUGCCUUUGAUACUGGCGAUCUUGAGUCCGGGAGAGGUGAGUGGAACUGCGAGUGUAGAGGUGAAAUUCGUAGAUAUUCGCAAGAACACCAGUGGCGAAGGCGGCUCACUGGCCCGGUACUGACGCUGAGGAGCGAAAGCGUGGGGAGCGAACAGG